RNAcentral lists this ribosomal RNA (322 nucleotides) under uncultured eukaryote. RNAcentral's name for it is "partial 18S ribosomal RNA". It matches the Rfam family "Eukaryotic small subunit ribosomal RNA", at positions 1470 to 1796 of the family's 1831-position model. The record is from RNAcentral.
CCCUUAGAUGUUCUGGGCCGCACGCGUGCUACACUGAGUGGAUCAGCGGGUCAGGUUGCGCGAAAGCGUUUCCUAAUCUUGAAAUCCGCUCGUGAUGGGGAUUGACGGUUGCAAUUUUCUGUCAUGAACGAGGAAUACCUUGUAAGCGCGAGUCAUCAUCCCGCGCUGAAUACGUCCCUGCCCUUUGUACACACCGCCCGUCGCUCCUACCGAUUGAGUGGUCCGGUGAGGCUUUGGGAUCUGAGCGGAAAGAGCGUUUCGCCCGUUCUGCCCGGAAAACUCAGUCGAACCUUAUCAUUUAGAGGAAGGAGAAGUCGUAACA